CUUGGUACAAAAUCAAUCUUUACCUCCAAAAACUGAAGCUUGGCAGAAAGGUUGUAAGCAAAUCCCUGAGGGAUGAAGGAAUAGUCAGCCUCAUCGCCUGGUGUAACAUCCUCAAUAGUUAGCUUAUGGAUCCUGCCAAUAUGGGAGAUCUUUAUCCUUUCAUCUGGCACCACCUCCUUUCCGUUUUUCAACCAGAUUCCUUUCACAUUUUCAUCAGAAACUUCACACUUGAAGACUGCCUGGUCACGUGCCUUCACUGUCAGAUCCGCAAUGCUCUGAUAAACUUCCAGCUUUUUCUCUUGUACAAUUAGCUCAGCAACUGAUACUCCACCGUUUGUCUUCACUGUGUAGUGCCCACUAUCCUCCUUGGUUGACUCAUUAAUAAUUAGAUACUGCUUUUUUCCAUCUUUCUUAAAUCUGUAUUUGAACGUUUCUUCCCGUGUCAGCUCAACUCCAUCCUUUUCCCAUUUCACAGUAGCUCCUUCCUCAGACACUUCACACUCAAACUCCACUCUCUCUCCAACCAUCACCAUUUGAUCCUCCAGGGGGUGAGUGAUCAGGAUUGGGGGCUCUUUUACAAAUAAUUCUGUGAAGCUCUUCUCCUCAGCUACUACACAUUCAUAGGCUGCAUCGUCAGCCAGGGAGCAGUGGUUUAUGGUCAGUAUUCUCUUAUUCCCAAUGGCCUCAAAAAUGUAUCUGAAAAAAGAAUGAAAUUGUAGUUAUCAGAGAAUAUCUCUUCUGGACUCAAUUGGCAUCUUCCUCUGCCAGGCAGAGAAGAAAGCUCUGCAGUUUUUCUCAUGUCAGUGGCAAGAUAUGUAAAGACUUA
This 826-nucleotide long non-coding RNA is filed under the name Gallus gallus (chicken). The record is from RNAcentral. Lineage: Eukaryota; Metazoa; Chordata; Aves; Galliformes; Phasianidae.